CGGCUUUGUAAGUUAGAGGUGAAAGCCCGGGGCUCAACUCCGGAAUUGCCUUUGAGACUGCAUCGCUAGAAUGGUGGAGAGGUGGGUGGAAUUCCGAGUGUAGAGGUGAAAUUCGUAGAUAUUCGGAAGAACACCAGUGGCGAAGGCGACUUACUGGACUCAUAUUGACGCUGAGGUGCGAAAGCGUGGGGAGCAAACAGGAUUAAAUACCCUGGUAGUCCCCGCCGUAAACAAUGAUGACUAUCUGUCGGGGCGCUUAACGUUCCAGUGGCGCAGCUAACGCGUGAAGUCAUCCGCCUGGGGAGUACGGCCGCAAGGUUAAAACUCAAAGAAAUUGACGGGGGCCUGCACAAGCGGUGGAUCAUGUGGUUUAAUUCGAAGCAACGCGCAGAACCUUACCUGCGUUUGACAUGGUACGACGGUUUCUGGAAACCGAUUCCUUCCCUUACGGGACC
Molecule: ribosomal RNA, 455 nt
Filed under: uncultured bacterium
Lineage: Bacteria
Description: bacterial SSU rRNA
Rfam family: Bacterial small subunit ribosomal RNA
Source: RNAcentral